GACGAACGCUGGCGGCGUGCUUAACACAUGCAAGUCGAACGGAAAGGCCUGCUUUCCCUUGUGGAUUGCGGGUACGCGAGUGGCGAACGGGUGAGUAACACGUGAGUGAUCUGCCCCCAACUUGGGUAUAAGCCUGGGAAACUGGGUCUAAUUCCCGAUAGGACUGCAGGGUGGUGCCUGUGGUGGAAAACGAGCUUCUAGUGGUGGGGGAUGAGCGCGCGGCCGAUCAGCUGGUUGGUGGGGGAAUGGCCUACCAGGGCGGCGACGGGUAGCCGGCCUGAGAGGCUGGACGGCCACAUGGGGACUGCCAUACGGCUCCGACUGCUACGGGAGGCAGCAGUGGGGCAUAUUGCGCAAUGGGCGGCGGGCUGCUGCGGCGGCGCCGCGUGGGGGAUCGCGGCCUUCGGGUUGUAUACUCCUUUCGACCGCGAGGGAGCCACGUGGUUGGAAGGGUGGUGGCGGUCGCGGUAGAAGAAGCCCCGGCUCUCUACG
Molecule: ribosomal RNA, 492 nt
Filed under: uncultured bacterium
Lineage: Bacteria
Description: partial 16S ribosomal RNA
Rfam family: Bacterial small subunit ribosomal RNA
Source: RNAcentral